RNAcentral lists this transfer RNA (74 nucleotides) under Cellulomonas denverensis. Its description in RNAcentral is "tRNA-Gln". It matches the Rfam family "tRNA". From Rfam's summary of the family: Transfer RNA (tRNA) molecules are approximately 80 nucleotides in length. Their secondary structure includes four short double-helical elements and three loops (D, anti-codon, and T loops). The record is from RNAcentral. Lineage: Bacteria; Bacillati; Actinomycetota; Actinomycetes; Micrococcales; Cellulomonadaceae.
UCCGCCCUGGUGUAAUGGCAGCACGCAGGCCUUUGGUGCCUUGAGGUCCGGGUUCGAAUCCUGGGGGCGGAGCC